CCUUUCGUAUAGGGAUUUACUCCCGAAAGCGAAAGAGGUUGCAACAAAGAGUCCCUCCCGACUGUUUAUCAAAAACACAGCACUAUGCUAACUCGUAAGAGGAUGUAUAUGGUGUGACGCCUGCCCGGUGCUUGAAGGUUAAUUGAUGGGGUUAGUUCUUCGGAACGAAGCUCUUGAUCGAAGCCCAAGUAAACGGCGGCCGUAACUAUAACGGUCCUAAGGUAGCGAAAUUCCUUGUCGGUUAAAUACCGACCUGCAUGAAUGGCGUAACGAGAUGGGAGCUGUCUCAACCAGGGAUCCAGUGAAAUUGUAGUGGAGGUGAAAAUUCCUCCUACCCGCGGCAAGACGGAAAGACCCCGUGCACCUUUACUAUAGCUUGACACUGCAAUUGGGAUAUAUUUGUGCAGGAUAGGUGGGAGGCUUUGACUCUAUGGCGCUAGCUGUAGAUGAGCUAUUCUUGAGAUACCACCCUUAUAUAUUCUGAUUGCUAACUUGCUUGGGUUAUCCCCAAGGAGGACAAUGUCUGGUGGGUAGUUUGACUGGGGCGGUCGCCUCCUAAAGAGUAACGGAGGCUUACAAAGGUUGGCUCAGAACGGUUGGAAAUCGUUCGUAGAGUAUAAUGGUAUAAGCCAGCUUAACUGCGAGACAUACAGUCGAGCAGAGACGAAAGUCGGUCAUAGUGAUCCGGUGGUUCUGUGUGGAAGGGCCAUCGCUCAAAGGAUAAAAGGUACGCCGGGGAUAACAGGCUGAUCUCCCCCAAGAGCUCACAUCGACGGGGAGGUUUGGCACCUCGAUGUCGGCUCAUCGCAUCCUGGGGCUGAAGCAGGUCCCAAGGGUAUGGCUGUUCGCCAUUUAAAGCGGUACGCGAGCUGGGUUCAGAACGUCGUGAGACAGUUCGGUCCCUAUCUGCCGUGGGCGUUGGAUGAUUGAGGAGAGUUGCCCCUAGUACGAGAGGACCGGGGUGAACGAACCACUGGUGUACCAGUUGUCCUGCCAAGGGCAUCGCUGGGUAGCUA
Molecule: ribosomal RNA, 1016 nt
Filed under: hydrothermal vent metagenome
Description: bacterial LSU rRNA
Rfam family: Bacterial large subunit ribosomal RNA
Source: RNAcentral